AACGAACGCUGGCGGCAGGCCUAACACAUGCAAGUCGAGCGCGCCCUUCGGGGUGAGCGGCGGACGGGUGAGUAACGCGUGGGAACGUGCCCUUUUCUACGGAAUAGCCUCGGGAAACUAAGAGUAAUACCGUAUACGCCCUUUGGGGGAAAGAUUUAUCGGAAAAGGAUCGGUCCGCGUUGGAUUAGGUAGUUGGUGGGGUAAUGGCCUACCAAGCCGACGAUCCAUAGCUGGUUUGAGAGGAUGAUCAGCCACACUGGGACUGAGACACGGCCCAGACUCCUACGGGAGGCAGCAGUGGGGAAUCUUAGACAAUGGGGGCAACCCUGAUCUAGCCAUGCCGCGUGAGUGAUGAAGGCCUUAGGGUUGUAAAGCUCUUUCAGCUGGGAAGAUAAUGACGGUACCAGCAGAAGAAGCCCCGGCUAACUCCGUG
This 433-nucleotide ribosomal RNA is filed under the name uncultured bacterium. RNAcentral describes it as "partial 16S ribosomal RNA". It matches the Rfam family "Bacterial small subunit ribosomal RNA", at positions 29 to 507 of the family's 1533-position model. The record is from RNAcentral.